RNAcentral lists this ribosomal RNA (250 nucleotides) under uncultured bacterium. RNAcentral describes it as "partial 16S ribosomal RNA". It matches the Rfam family "Bacterial small subunit ribosomal RNA", at positions 29 to 306 of the family's 1533-position model. The record is from RNAcentral.
AACGAACGCUGGCGGCAUGCCUAACACAUGCAAGUCGAACGAGACCUUCGGGUCUAGUGGCGCACGGGUGCGUAACGCGUGGGAAUCUGCCCAAAGGUUCGGAAUAACUCAGGGAAACUUGAGCUAAUACCGGAUAAUGUCGCAAGACCAAAGAUUUAUUGCCUUUGGAUGAGCCCGCGUAGGAUUAGCUAGUUGGUGGGGUAAAAGCCUACCAAGGCGACGAUCCUUAGCUGGUCNGAGAGGAUGAUCA